GAUGAACGCUGGCGGCGUGCCUAAUACAUGCAAGUCGAGCGAACAGACGAGGAGCUUGCUCCUUUGACGUUAGCGGCGGACGGGUGAGUAACACGUGGAUAACCUACCUAUAAGACUGGGAUAACUUCGGGAAACCGGAGCUAAUACCGGAUAACAUGUUGAACCGCAUGGUUCAACAGUGAAAGUCGGUUUUUCUGUCUCUUAUAGAUGGAUCCGCGCCGCAUUAGCUAGUUGGUAAGGUAACGGCUUACCAAGGCAACGAUGCGUAGCCGACCUGAGAGGGUGAUCGGCCACACUGGAACUGAGACACGGUCCAGACUCCUACGGGAGGCAGCAGUAGGGAAUCUUACGAAAUGGGCGAAAGCCUGACGGAGCAACGCCGCGUGAGUGAAGAAGGUCUUCGGAUCGUAAAACGCUGUUAUUAGGGAAGAACAAAUGUGUAAGUAACUAUGCACGUCUUGACGGUACCUAAUCAGAAAGCCACGGCUAACUACGUG
RNAcentral lists this ribosomal RNA (497 nucleotides) under uncultured bacterium. RNAcentral describes it as "partial 16S ribosomal RNA". It matches the Rfam family "Bacterial small subunit ribosomal RNA", at positions 28 to 507 of the family's 1533-position model. The record is from RNAcentral.